This 73-nucleotide transfer RNA is filed under the name Phycisphaerae bacterium. Its description in RNAcentral is "tRNA-Met". It matches the Rfam family "tRNA". From Rfam's summary of the family: Transfer RNA (tRNA) molecules are approximately 80 nucleotides in length. Their secondary structure includes four short double-helical elements and three loops (D, anti-codon, and T loops). The record is from RNAcentral. Lineage: Bacteria; Pseudomonadati; Planctomycetota; Phycisphaerae. RNAcentral also lists the same sequence under 1 other name.
CUGGAAGUAGCUCAGUUGGUAGAGCACGCGUCUCAUACGCGCGGCGUCGCAGGUUCGAAUCCUGCCUUCCAGA